Long non-coding RNA from Coffea eugenioides, 510 nucleotides. RefSeq lists it as uncharacterized. The transcript is spliced from 3 exons. The record is from RefSeq and is a predicted model, not a curated record. NCBI's taxonomy places the organism in Eukaryota, Viridiplantae, Streptophyta, Magnoliopsida, Gentianales, Rubiaceae.
AAAUAUAACUUACAUGCCUUGAGUUCAUACAAUUGUAUUCCUCAUGAAUCUAUUUUUAUUCUCAGGUAUGAAGGUGCACGACCUGCAGAAGCCCUUGUUGAGUUUGUGAAUAGUGAAGGAGAUGAGAUGAGCUUUGCAAGACAUUUCUUAUCAUUUUGCCAUUGCAAUAGUUUCUAGAAAAUGCAGAGCCAAGGUUGAUGGCGCAAAAAUUUUCUUGUGGAUUUGAACAAGGUGCUUAAAUGAGCUGACUUUUCUUCAAAUUGGGAAUGGUUUAUGGAUGGUAGUUUUCAUAGUCAUGUCAUAAUGGAAUCCAGUAAUAUGUUAAAAAUAUCAUAGAUUAAUGCUUAGUUCAUAAUUACCAAAAUAUGUAGUUUGUACGAGUGUAGAUUCUAUUUUUUCACAAUCUAUUUUUGGUUCAUAUAUUGUUUCCACUUACUUUUUUUAAGCUGUACAUGAAUACACAUUUUUUUCAUAUAUCAUUGUCGGCUAUUGAGCGAAUUGUUGAAUGUU